GCGGGCGGAGCUACCAUGCAAGUCGAGCGGUAGAGAGAAGCUUGCUUCUCUUGAGAGCGGCGGACGGGUGAGUAAUGCCUAGGAAUCUGCCUAGUGGUGGGGGAUAACGUUCGGAAACGGACGCUAAUACCGCAUACGUCCUACGGGAGAAAGCGGGGGAUCUUCGGACCUCGCGCCAUUAGAUGAGCCUAGGUCGGAUUAGCUAGUUGGUGAGGUAAUGGCUCACCAAGGCGACGAUCCGUAACUGGUCUGAGAGGAUGAUCAGUCACACUGGAACUGAGACACGGUCCAGACUCCUACGGGAGGCAGCAGUGGGGAAUAUUGGACAAUGGGCGAAAGCCUGAUCCAGCCAUGCCGCGUGUGUGAAGAAGGUCUUCGGAUUGUAAAGCACUUUAAGUUGGGAGGAAGGGUAGUAACCUAAUACGUUGCUAUUUUGACGUUACCGACAGAAUAAGCACCGGCUAACUUCGUGCCAGCAGCCGCGGUAAUACGAAGGGUGCAAGCGUUAAUCGGAAUUACUGGGCGUAAAGCGCGCGUAGGUGGUUCAGUAAGUUGGAAGUGAAAUCCCCGGGCUCAACCUGGGAACUGCUUUCAAAACUGCUGAGCUAGAGUACGGUAGAGGGUGGUGGAAUUUCCUGUGUAGCGGUGAAAUGCGUAGAUAUAGGAAGGAACACCAGUGGCGAAGGCGACCACCUGGACUGAUACUGACACUGAGGUGCGAAAGCGUGGGGAGCAAACAGGAUUAGAUACCCUGGUAGUCCACGCCGUAAACGAUGUCAACUAGCCGUUGGAAUCCUUGAGAUUUUAGUGGCGCAGCUAACGCAUUAAGUUGACCGCCUGGGGAGUACGGCCGCAAGGUUAAACUCAGA
Molecule: ribosomal RNA, 869 nt
Filed under: Pseudomonadales bacterium Control.12
Lineage: Bacteria; Pseudomonadati; Pseudomonadota; Gammaproteobacteria; Pseudomonadales
Description: bacterial SSU rRNA
Rfam family: Bacterial small subunit ribosomal RNA
Source: RNAcentral